Molecule: long non-coding RNA, 1052 nt
Organism: Manacus vitellinus (golden-collared manakin)
Lineage: Eukaryota; Metazoa; Chordata; Aves; Passeriformes; Pipridae
Exons: 3
Source: RefSeq, a predicted model, not a curated record
CGGGAGCGGGGGGUGGGGGGGAUGGCGAGGAGGCUCCGCGCCGCCAUGGCCUGCUGCUGCUCCAGCCCCUGCCUGAGGGGCUGCCCGCCGGCGUGAGCCCGCCCAGGCCGAGGGAGCUUGUCAAGAUACUGAUUUGCUAAAUAUACUGGAGUGGGACAGAGAGUGACUUGAGCAGGAAAAGGAUUUUAUCAAUGAAAGAAGAUAGUUCACAGAAGGAGGUGGUGGAGGAUUGCCAACAGGAACUGCAUGUCUUCUCUGUCCAGAAGAUGAGGCCAUUCUGUUGCAUAAAUUAUCCACUGUGACAGCCAUCCCACUGAUUGUGGGCAGAAAAUCCGUCCCACGGAGCCUGCUGUAAAAGCACCUUUUAGAGCUGAGCUAAACAAGAAUUGGGAGUGACUGGUGUGGAAUGAAAGGGUAAAAUGGUGGCUGAGGUCAGACUGAGCCAGGAGGUAGGGGAAGGGCUGGAGGAGGUGAUGGGCAGAGUAUGGGGAUGUUGCAAAGACUGAACAAAACCUUUGAAGAAGGCAGUGUCUUCAAGGCCAGGACACUGGGCUGACUUCAUCACAUCCUGCUCAUCAAUUGUAAUUGUAAAAUUACCAAACUCCCCCCUCUUGUGGGGGUAGGAAAGACUUUUCUUGAGAUACUAUCUGAAAGACCUUUAUUCUGCUUGGAAAGCAUGUAAGGAAGCUACCUGAAUGCAUGUGAAGGUCAUGACUCAUGUCUGGGUCUCCUGUGUGAUGAAUUCCCCCUUUUCUUACUGGUUGUCUCAUUUGUUGGUCUGCAGACUGCUUUUCGAACAGUGAAUGCUGAAGAGGAGGAGUAUGUCUGUAUUGUGUUGUCUUCAAAUUACCUUGUCGUUUUGACUUCUGUCUUUUUAGAAGAUGCAGACUUCACAAACAGCUUGCAUUUGACUCUCCAGUCUCCUGUGAUCUGAACUUAGAUAAAACAGGCUUGCAGACAUCUGUCAUUGCUGAUUGUCUCCAUUUACUGACACUUAUCACCUGGACUCCAACAGAGCCUGUCUUAAAUCACCCUGUCAAAAAUAAGAGCUC